This is a small nucleolar RNA of Amaranthus tricolor (Joseph's coat), 133 nucleotides long. NCBI's taxonomy places the organism in Eukaryota, Viridiplantae, Streptophyta, Magnoliopsida, Caryophyllales, Amaranthaceae. The record is from RefSeq and is a predicted model, not a curated record.
ACCAAUUCUGGGGGAUGAUGCAGUUCCUCUUGGCAUAAUGGCUCGGGCGCUAAAUCAAUCUAGCAGUGUGGUAUAUCCUGAUUGGUGACUUUGUUUUUUGUGUCAUAUAAUCCUGGAAACGCCACAUAUAUUU